RNAcentral lists this small RNA (945 nucleotides) under Arabidopsis thaliana (thale cress). RNAcentral's name for it is "ATSL075390". Lineage: Eukaryota; Viridiplantae; Streptophyta; Magnoliopsida; Brassicales; Brassicaceae. The record is from RNAcentral.
AUAAAAUAAUGAAAACAACUGAUUUAAUUAGCAACAUAAUUAAAUCAAAGGUCGGCUGCGUAUCAGAUCUUCUGAUUAAUGAACAACACUAUCUAACACAUUUAUUGGAUAUAAAGCAUAUGGUAUACGUAAAUGGUUCCAUAUGCCCUCUAUUAAUCAGCUGAUGAUUGGGAAAAGGACUAAACUAAAUAAAUUAAAAACCCAAUGAUUACAUAACUAAAGUAACAACAUGUUGGUCAAAGGGUCUUUUGUCCAAUGACUAAUUAAUAGCUUACGAUAUAGUCAUAUACUAUGGAUCCGAAUGGUAACUGCGUUUUGCUGUGCGGGAGAAGUGCGGUGCGGUUCAAAUAAUAACGAAAAUAUAUAGAUACAUAUAUAUAUGUAGAAAUUUUAAUACUGUUACUGCACUGUUGCGGUACGGUUUUGAGUGCGGUUUAUGUCACCAUUCACAGUCUAUAUAUGUAUUCACACAUAUACAUGUUUUUAGCAUAUGAUCAGCAUGGAAUUGAGAUUUGAUGAGACAAGCAAUAAUUGGUCUAUUACUCUAUAGUCUCUAUGUAGAGAUAUUUGUUAGUAGUGUAAAUUAAAACGUGAAAGCUUCCUCAUGUGUGAUGGCCCAUAGGUGAUCAUGUCCAUCAUUUUGUGGUUGAAACUACUCACAUGGACUGAUGGACUCACAUAUAUCCCCAAUAUGGCACGAUAUAUUUUAUACAUAUACAUUAUUUUUGUUGGCAAAUUUUAUACAUAAACAUUUAUAUGCCCGAAUUAUUAAACAUUUCAAACUAAAAAAUGGUCGCCGGAAAAGAAGUUCAGUUUUUCAACUUUGAAAAAUUAUAUUUGGAUUUCAAAAUUUCGGACUAGUUUUGUGUCGCUCAAACACAUUCCUACAAAAAAAAUUGUUAUUUAAUAUUGAUGUAAAGAAAACUAGUUUUUCUUACAAUUUUU